CUCAUUUGUUUUUUUUUUUUCUAAGGGGCUAGGGUUAACCCUAGCCACCGCCCCUGUUCCACCACCUACUCGCCACUGUUCUGGUCGUGUCCCAUCGGUUGGAGGCGCAAAACGUGGAGGAGAGGAUGAAGCAUUUAAAGCUUCGUCCUUCUCUCACCAGAAAUCGUCCAAACAGGCCCUUAAUGUUUUUGUUCUUCAAAUCCGUUCUUGGUCUUGGCUGCGUCCAAAAAAGGUAACUCUUUAUCUUGUUAGUGACUUUGUUAAUUUCGCUUAUUUCUUUAUAAUGGCUAUUUAGUUAAAUGUUAAUUUGGUAAUUUCUGUUGGUUUCUUGGUUAUUUUCAUGGUAGUUAUUUAAUUAGCCUAGUGAUUCCUGUUAAUUUAUUGCUCAUUCUUGUGGUGGUCGUUUAGUAAAAUUUAACUUGUUAAUAUCUGUAAACUUACUUAUUUUUUAUAGUUACUUAGUUAGAGAACAACCUUUGUUGACUCUUGUUAAAACCUACUGUCUAUUCUUUGUGUGAUAUGGUGAGUGACUUAAUUGAAUGUUAUCUUGUGUGCUGAUUUGGUCCAUGUAUCUUGCUGUUUCAUUCCAAUAAUUAUAGUAAGUUAUUAGUGAAUCUCCUAGUCUCAUUUUACUAACCUGUUGGUCUUUUAAAUAGUUCUGGUAAGGUGCUUUUGUGAUAAUUGUCAAUUGUGAUUUCAUUGCUUACUUAGAUGAUGAAGUAUGAGUUUUAAAUAAAGGGUGAUAUGGUUUAAUCUCACUGGUCCCUACUGAUUCAAACUAGUUGUUGUGAAUCACUUAGUCUAGACAUCACCUAGAGUUCAAGUUUGCCAGUUACUUUCCUAAUUUGAAUGAUUGUCAUAAGAGUGUUUAGUCAAACCAGGAUAGGCAUUAAGCUGUCAACUUAUUUGUCCAUUAAAACAAGUAGAGUUAGUUGUUCGGUUAAAAAAGAAUGGUGAGUAGGUUUGGUGUGUUGGCUCACUGAUCACAUAGGUAUGAAAAUUGGGUAAGGAGUGAUUGUGGGAAGGUUUAAGUCUAGAAUGGUUUCUGUUGUUAGUUCACUCACUAAUGUUUGCCUUACUAAAUGGAUCUGCAAUGGGUCUAGUUUGCUAGCCUAAGUUAUUCACAUAAUUAUAAAAAUGUGCCUUUGAGUGUUUGCUUGGUUAAUCAAGAACUAAGUAAUAAAAAAUGUGAAGUUCUAUGUCAUUUCUUCUUUUCUCCAAAAAUUUGUUUUGUGAUGAAGUUGUUUUGGGUUAACAUUGGCUAACUAAAAAAUGGAAAAGGGUCAGUCUAUAUGCUAAUCUUUGUAUCACUAGGUCCUUUGUACUUUUUUUUUCUUUUUCUAGAGAGUAGACUAUGGCUUGUAACGUUUUAUAACACAUUGUGCUUUGACUGCCUCGGUGUCAUGGUUGCAAAAAUGACAUCUUAAACUUUGAAGCCUGACAUCUAUUUUACUCAAAGUACCAAAACAGGUUCACAUAUUUCUCUGCCUAGGUCUGAGUGGAGUUAGUUUCCUUUUUCUACCUUACACCUAUGUGUUUAAUCACUAAGAAGAUGCUUUGGUGAGUGUUCUGUGGUUUCAGUUGAUCGUUUUCAUGUCUAUGUGAUGCUAUGGCCUUUGUUGCCCCUGUUGGUUCUGUCUUGCCUGCUAUGUCUGUUCUUGACAUUACUGUCUGAAUUUCCAGAAGUUGUGUACCUAAAGUCACUCAUUUUUAGGAAGGGCAUCAAGUUGGGAGGGGGCCUGAACCACUUAACUUUAGGAUGUUGUCCAUUUUUCUUCUUUGUCAAGGUUUCUUUUUUGUGGUCUUUCUUGUCUGUCCUAAAUCCAUCCCUGGACUUCCUCAGAUUUUUGUUUGCUUAUUUUUAACUGGAUGACAAGUUUAUUUGAACUUUUUUUUUUACUGCAAGCUGCUUCCUAAGUUGCAAAUUCCAGCUAGAGUAUAAUGAUGAAAUAGUUAACCCAGUCUGUGACCUGAUGUAGCUCUCAUCUUUGACCAUUCUUGAGACCUUGACUUAGUAUUACUCCUGCAUUUCUCUAGGUUACACUAGGACUAGAUGGCACACAUUUGCUUUGUUUUAUUUUGUUGUCUGAAAUAUUGUUUGAACCCCAGUUGUCUAUUAUUGUGUGUGUUGUUUCUUUGCUUAUACUUUGUCUUGUCUCCCUCCCAUGGCAUAGAGCUAGGACCAAACUGUUGUGAGUCGUUUGAAGGUCCCAGCCUGGUGUUUUACUUACUCUAUACCUAUGUGACAUUGCCAUUGACCCUGUCCUCAUUUGCACCUGUGGAGUGAAACUUUUUUUUUUAUAUGAUCAUGCUCUGACCUUGUCUUAGCUGCUGUAUCUGUGUGUGUGAUUCAUGACCUCCAUACCCUUCCUCCAGGACCUACAUCUAUUUUUCUGCUUGCUAGCUUCACUUGUAUGCUUGCCUUUGUCUUCUUUUACCCCUAGGGCCAUGAGCUGCAUCCCCAUACUACUCUGUGCUACUGUGUCCUUUUGGCUUUUUCAUGACACUCCUGCUCCUUUUGACUUGUUUUCUUGUGUGCUUUUAUCCUCUCGUGUUUCUCAUCCUAGUUGAAACACUCUGUAUGCUGGUUUUGUGUAAUCACAUGACCUCCAAGGCACUUCAUCUUACUUAGUAUUGUCAACUACACUUGGUCAUACACCCUGUGACUAGAACUUAAUCCCUAUAUUGCUUGCAUGAGUGUGUUGAGUUCUUAGUCAAGCUGCAGUGCUAUUGUUUACUCCAAACCCAUGAUGAGUCUGCUACUGUGCCUCCUCAUACUUGAGAGUAUUCACCUCUGCAUCCUUACUGUGUGAAAUCACACUGCCCUUAGCUCUGCAUUGAUGUCUUAAGUUGGUUGUCAACCUAAUUUUCCUUUGCCCAUCCCUGAGAUGCCAUGACAUAGCUGUCACCCUGUAGUACUCAUUUGACUCUCUUCAAUCUGUUUUAGUCUGUGAUCCUGGUUGAUGCUCGUACUCCUCUGAAUAAGUUUAAACAUACCUCUUUUCAUUUUAGUGUGAAUACUUGACAUACCUCCCUAAGUCUAGUUAUAUUUGGCUUAACUGGUUGAGGUUUGCUGCCAUCUGCUAGAUAUGAGAUGCUUCUCUUUGAAUUAAGUUUGUCAUUGAAUUUUAAGGUGCACCUUUACCCAUCAUGUUUGUCUUCUAAUCACAUGUACCCACUGCUUAUACUUUCUUUUACUAUUCAAUGUUACCUGCUAUUGCUGAGACUCUAAGUCCACUCAUGAGAUGGUCUUUGUUUGGUUUGUUUUGCUUGUCCUUGGCAACUGCCUGUCUUCUUCCCUUUUGCCUUUGUUUGCAACUGCUGGUGCUUGUUUGCCUUUGCCCCUUUAAAGAAAUUGUGUUUGAUUUGUCAAGUUCCAUUUUGUGACAUCAAGGUUCUUUAUAAUGUCUGCUUCAGUGUGUAUACUUGUAUACUGCUCCCUGGCUGCUUAUUGAAAUUGCACCAACUCCUAGCAUAUUAUUUGAAUGUCCUUAGCAUUUAUGGUUCUGUGCUCUCUCUGUCCUCUCUCAAUAAGACCCAAAUAAAUCUUAUAUACAUGUGUGUGUAUGUGUGUAUACUUUAUCUUAUAUACAUGCAUGUGUAUUUAUAACUUUAGUCAUUUACCUUAGUGAUAAGUUCAACGAUUAUAAACUAACCGGUGUUUUUCUUUUCUCUCCUCCUCGUCCUACCACGCGGCCGCUCGGGUCACAAAUGCAUAAAACCACCCCUUAGGCCUAAGGCCCAAGUGGGAAUACUACUUCAAAAUAGAGUCCGGGAAGACAAAAAAGAUAGUGAGGCGCGCAGAAGGCCCAACCAUGGGUGAAAAUGGCCAACUAGGGGCUUGUUACGCCCCUAGUCUAACUUAGUCUCUAUAUAUUUAUUUGUUGACUCAUUUCUAACUUGAUGUACUUGUAAAAAUGUGUAUUCAAACUCAUAUUAUAGUGGAAAAUCCUUAUGAUUGGAAUUAGAUGUCUCAGGACAACGGUUCUUAUGCCGUUUAUUUGA
Long non-coding RNA from Lycium barbarum (goji berry), 4005 nucleotides. RefSeq lists it as uncharacterized. NCBI's taxonomy places the organism in Eukaryota, Viridiplantae, Streptophyta, Magnoliopsida, Solanales, Solanaceae. The record is from RefSeq and is a predicted model, not a curated record. The transcript has 2 exons.